Molecule: ribosomal RNA, 337 nt
Filed under: uncultured bacterium
Lineage: Bacteria
Description: bacterial SSU rRNA
Rfam family: Bacterial small subunit ribosomal RNA
Source: RNAcentral
AGGGUUUGAUUAUGGCUCAGGAUGAACGCUAGCUAUAGGCUUAACACAUGCAAGUCGAGGGGAAACGGCAGAGAGUGCUUGCACACUUUGGACGUCGACCGGCGCACGGGUGAGUAACGCGUAUCCAACCUGCCCUUUACUUGGGGAUAACCCGUUGAAAGACGGACUAAUACCCAAUGAUAUUCAUUGAUGACAUCUGAUUUGAAUUAAAGAUUUAUCGGUAUAGGAUGGGGAUGCGUCUGAUUAGCUUGUUGGUGAGGUAACGGCUCACCAAGGCAACGAUCAGUAGGGGUUCUGAGAGGAAGGUCCCCCACAUUGGAACUGAGACACGGUCCAA